Transfer RNA from Podospora anserina, 103 nucleotides. It matches the Rfam family "tRNA". From Rfam's summary of the family: Transfer RNA (tRNA) molecules are approximately 80 nucleotides in length. Their secondary structure includes four short double-helical elements and three loops (D, anti-codon, and T loops). The record is from Rfam. NCBI's taxonomy places the organism in Eukaryota, Fungi, Ascomycota, Sordariomycetes, Sordariales, Podosporaceae.
GGGCGUGUGGCUCAGUUGGUAGAGCGUUCGCUUAGCAUACUCAACCUUAGUACAAGGAUCAUUUGUAUGCGAAAGGUCCUGGGUUCGAUUCCCAGCUCGUCCA